This 761-nucleotide long non-coding RNA is filed under the name Cyanistes caeruleus (blue tit). Its description in RNAcentral is "lncRNA (ENSCCEG00000003345.1)". The stretch from base 605 to 743 matches the Rfam family "Small nucleolar RNA SNORA8". Lineage: Eukaryota; Metazoa; Chordata; Aves; Passeriformes; Paridae. The record is from RNAcentral.
GUUCUCUGUGGAGUUCUUAAACUCUGCAAAUUUACUACUAAAAUCUGAAGUAUUUUGAAACUAGACUUGUGACUACUUCUGUCUUCCAUUAUCUUAGGAGAACAGCUCUUUCAUUCUAAGUAGCACAAUUCCCAGUAAAAAAAAGUCAAAGCCAGGAGGAAAACGUGCAAAACCACCUGAAGUGAUUGAAAUAGUGGAUGAAGAAGAUGGUGCUGAAGACAACUCGGUGCCUCUGCAAGGCUCACCUCGGUGAAAAGCAGAUGAACAAAUGAGGUGGCAGUGGUUGUUCUUCAAAUGCCUCUUUCAUGAACCUCUUUGGUUUAAAACAUUGGUCUGGAGUCAGUUUUGAGCUCUCCACACAGCUGCCUUGGCACGUUUGCCUUACUUUUAUGUUGCUUUUGGAAGAUGAAAUACUUCUUGGUUUUCUUGCUGCACAAGGGCUGUUUGCUGACCUUCUGAUUCAGGAAUCCAUUACUUGGGUGGACAUCUGUGCAACAUGGUGUAGCAAAAGAGGUGAGCUUUGUGUUUCUUCUGAGCUUCAGCGUAAGACUGUUGGAUUUCUUCAGUGUAGUGCUAUUCCCACAGCAAGUAUCAGACUAAUUUGUGCACUGUAUGGUAUCUGCACCCAGCAGUGUCUUCCUGAUGCGGUGUUCAAAAAACAGUGCUACAGUAUUUCAACAGCUGGCAUCGUUGGUUUUCAUGCAGAUGUGCUGGUUAAACUUGGUAUUUCUGUUGAAACAAGUACAUUCUGUGUUUCUUAG